This is an unclassified non-coding RNA of Pongo abelii (Sumatran orangutan), 148 nucleotides long. It matches the Rfam family "Metazoan signal recognition particle RNA". From Rfam's summary of the family: The signal recognition particle (SRP) is a universally conserved ribonucleoprotein. It is involved in the co-translational targeting of proteins to membranes. The record is from Ensembl. Lineage: Eukaryota; Metazoa; Chordata; Mammalia; Primates; Hominidae.
GCUGGCCAUGGUGGUGCAUGCCUGUAGUCCUAGCUACUUAGGAGGCUGAGACGGGAGGAUCACUUGAGCCCAGGAGGUUGAGGCUGCAGUGAGCUAUGAUGGCACCACUGCACUCCAGCCUAGGCAACAGAGUGAGACCCUGUCUUAA